GUCACUUAGCUAGCAGGUACUGUAGUCACUUAGCUAGCAGGUACUGUAGUCACUUAGCUAGCGUCACUUAGCUAGCAGGUACUGUAGUCACUUAGCUAGCAGGUACUAUAGUCACUUAGCUAGCAGGUACUGUAACCACUUAGCUAGCAGGUACUGUAGCCACUUAGCUAGCAGGUACUGUAGCCACUUAGCUAGCAGGUACUGUAGUCACUUAGCUAGCGUCACUUAGCUAGCAGGUACUGUAGUCACUUAGCUAGCUCUGUGCCCUGCUGGCCAGUUGGUUAUGUCCUCUUAGAAGAGUCAUAGAAUAAAAUAAUGGCCCAUUUUAUAUCCUGGGCGUGUGCCAGCUUAGCUUAACCAUCAGCAAUGCAUCAAUCUGCCAUUUUUUACUGUAUCCAUAUUGGUUUUAUUGGAGUAAUUCAGCCAUGUACUAUAAAAGAUAGGUACACAUGCUGCUAUUGUUAGGAUGGUGCCAGAGGGACAGAGAGGGAGAGAGACAGAGACGGGGAGGGAGAGAGUGGGAGAGAGACAGAGGGACAGAGCGGGAGAGAGAGAGAGAGACAGAGGGACAGAGGGGCAGAGGGAGAGAGAGAGAGAGACAGAGGGACAGAGGGAGAGAGAGAGAGACAGAGGGAGAGAGGGACAGACGGAGAGGGAGAGACAGAGAGAGAGAGAGAGAGAGAGAGACAGAGGGACAGAGGGACAGAGGGGGAGAGAGAGAGGGACAGAGGGAGCGAGAGAGAGAGACAGAGGGAGAGAGGGACAGACGGAGAGGGAGAGACAGAGGGAGAGAGAGAGAGACAGAGGGACAGAGCGGGGAGAGAGAGAGAGACCGAGGGAGAGAGGGAGAGGGAGGGGGAGGGAGAUAGAGGCAGAGAGGGAGCGAGAGAGAGACCGAGGGAGAGAGACAGAGAGAGGGGGGAGAGAGCGGGAGAGAGAGAGGGACAGAGGGAGAGGGAGAGAGAGACCGAGGGAGAGAGACAGAGAGGGGGAGGGAGAGAGAGGACCAACAGAACUCUCUGGCUGGCUCUAAACCCAGAUCUGGUUGGCCUGGACAGCUGUAAAAUGUAGCACACUACUUCUAUUAAUCUGACCUGCCAAUCACACCCAACCAACAGGGUCUCAGAGAAGUAACCAACCCACUCUACACACAGAGAGAGAGAGACAUUGUUAAAACACUGAAUAUAUAUAUAAUAUGACAUUUGUAAUGUCUUUAUUGUUUUGAAACUUCUGUAUGUGUGAUGUUUACUAUUAAUUUUUAUUGUUUAUUUCACUUCAUAUAUUAUCUACCUCACUUGCUUUGGCAAUGUUAACACAUGUUUCCCAUGCCAAUAAAGCCCUUCAAUUGAAUUGAAUUGAAUUGAGAGAGAGAGAGAGAGAGAGAGAGAGAGAGAGAGAGAGAGAGAGAGAAGUGGGCGAGAGAUGAGAGAGAGAACAAGUGGGCACAAGCGAGAGAGAGACAGACAGACAGAGAGGGAGAGAGAACAAAAUAAAAACCUAGCGGUCAAACAGGGAAAUGGUUCCAAUAGUUUUUCCAGAAGAAAAACAAACGCACACCUAUUUAGGUGAGGUGCUGGCUAGCGGAGUAGAAAACUUGAAAAUAAAAUAAAAGAGAGCCGCACACUCUAGGAGCUCAGAUGCACUCUACACUCUAGGAGCUCAGAUGCACUCUACACUCUAGGAGCUCAGAUGCACUCUACACUCUAGGAGCUCAGAUGCACUCAGAUGAAAAAUGUAAUUACCAACGUUGACAGCCAGGCUGUCUUCAUCAGGGUAUAUCCAAUAAGGGCUGUGUUUGGUGUAGGCUUACCCCGGAGUGACGUUUUGAGAACCAUGGAAAUCUCUCACAGACAAGGAGACUUUGGAGGAAUUUUGAAUGUCAGCCUGCUUGCCCUCUGCAAGGACACAACAACACAAUAAUAUACACAUUUAUAAGUACAUUUAUCUUAAAGUUUUGCAUGCACAUGCAGUAUGUAGAAAUACAGUAGAUAAUCAUGGAGUUUGUAGAAAUACAGUAGAUAAUCAUGGAGUUUGUAGAAAUACAGUAGAUAAUCAUGGAGUAUGUUUAAAUACAGUAGAUAAUCAUGGAGUUUGUUUAAAUACAUGUAGAUAAUCAUGGAGUUUGUAGAAAUACAGUAGAUAAUCAUGGAGUUUGUUUAAAUACAGUAGAUAAUCAU
This is a long non-coding RNA of Oncorhynchus tshawytscha (Chinook salmon), 2177 nucleotides long. The record is from Ensembl. NCBI's taxonomy places the organism in Eukaryota, Metazoa, Chordata, Actinopteri, Salmoniformes, Salmonidae.